GAUGAACGCUGGCGGCGUGCCUAACACAUGCAAGUCGAGCGGCAGCGCGGGGUGCUUGCACCCUGUCGGCGAGCGGCGGACGGCUGAGUAACGCGUGGGAACGUGCCCCAAAGUGAGGAAUAACUGCCCGAAAGGGUAGCUAAUACCGCAUAUUAUCUUCGGAUCAAAGGAUUUAUCCGCUUUGGGAGCGGCUCGCGUCGGAUUAGGUAGUUGGUGAGGUAAUGGCUCACCAAGCCGACGAUCCGUAGCUGGUCUGAGAGGAUGACCAGCCAGACUGGAACUGAGACACGGUCCAGACUCCUACGGGAGGCAGCAGUGAGGAAUCUUGCAAAAUGGGCGAAAGCCUGAUGGAGCAACGCCGCGUGCAGGACGAAGGCCUUCGGGUUGUAAACUGCUUUUAUAAGUGAGGAAUAUGACGGUAACUUAUGAAUAAGGAUCGGCUAACUACGUG
Molecule: ribosomal RNA, 451 nt
Filed under: uncultured bacterium
Lineage: Bacteria
Description: partial 16S ribosomal RNA
Rfam family: Bacterial small subunit ribosomal RNA
Source: RNAcentral